CUUCUUUUUUUUGUUAGAGGAAAUAAAAGUAUAUAGGCAAGCAAACGCUCACCGUCCCCGUCCCCCCAAGAUUUUGUCACAUUCCAUGACUCUCCUGUGGCUUUCAUGCCUUCCUGACCCCCAUUCUUAUAUUAACCUUUUGCCUCUUUGCUUGUUUUAGGGGCAGGCUCAGAGUCACAGAGGGCAGGAGGUUAAUUGCAGGCAGGGAUGGAGUCAGCAUCAUUUUACGGAUCUUUCUGAACCCCGUGGUGCUCGUCUGUGAACCCGCUGUCUGCGGUGUCGGGGACUGAAACCAGGAGAUCGGAAGCUUGGCUCAGGCGUCCCAGCCCAGAAAUUUCAAAUGGAGCAGUUCUUGGAACGGAGCUUCAAGACCAUGAUGCGAAGAGGAAGAAAUGAAAACAGCAUCAGUGCACCAACCAUAUGUCCGUCUGUGCUGAGCGCACACAGUAGGCAUUGUUCCUGCCCGGAGGGGAUGACCAUCUGUUGGACCAGAUCAAUCAGCGGAAGGAACCGGGCACCAUUGAGAUGGAACUCCAGCACUUAGCUUCCUCCGAGGGAAGGGUGGCCGGGCCCUAGGGGAGGUUCUGACGGGAAAGGGGCUCGGUCCGCCCGCCGGAAAGGGUGGGAGAAUUAAGAGGUCGGCGAUUCUGGUUCCUCCCCAGCUGCCGCUGCCCGAAAAGCUGACGCGCGGCCAUCCGUCCGGAUGGAAUUUUACAACCUCUCGCGUGGGGAGCGUCGAGCCUGGCUUUCAUCCUGUACUGGACGAGGUCGGGGUGAGGCGCGCUUAUAGCCGGCAAGGACGGAAGCCUGGACGAAGCCGGACAGAGUCGGAUUUUCUGGCUCGCUUCCCGGGUCUCCUCAUCUAUCGGCGACCGUAGUAGCCGCCGGAUCCCUCUCUCACUACUAG
Molecule: long non-coding RNA, 907 nt
Filed under: Ornithorhynchus anatinus (platypus)
Lineage: Eukaryota; Metazoa; Chordata; Mammalia; Monotremata; Ornithorhynchidae
Description: lncRNA (ENSOANG00000042090.1)
Source: RNAcentral